UGACACGCCUCUUUUAAACAAAAGUAAGAAAUACAAGGAGGAAUGAGAUCUUUACCAUGCUACUGCCUGGUGUGUUGUCUUGCUGGAAUGGUACAGGAAGUGAAUCCCAAAAGUACUGUUAGAGCAUAAAACCCUGCCCUCAGCUUGUUCACUUAUUUCUUUCAGCAUCCAUUCACCAUCAGCUUUGAAGCCGCAACCAAAGACUCAACUAUGGCUGCAGUGCAGAACUUGGAAAAUAUGAAAGGAAAUUCUGUUGACCCACCACCUCCAGGAGAACCUAUGAUAAAACCUUCUUCUCCACAGCCUCAUUUUCAACCACAACCCGACCCCCAAAUACCAUGCCAACCUCAUCCACAACCCCCACCACAAUACCAUCCUCAUCCACAACCCCUGCCACAAUACCAUCCUCAUCCACAACCCCUGCCACAAUACCAUCCUCAUCUACAACCCCAACCACAAUACCAACCUCAUCUACAACCUGAACCUCAUCCACAACCUCCACCUCAACUUCAAUACCAACUUCAGGCACCAGUGCAAGCACAACCCCAGCCCCAACUUCAGAUUCAGGCACAACCUCAAGCUGUGCCACAAUUCCAAACUCAAGUUGUCAAUAGUAACUUGGGAGAGUAUGCCUGUCAAACAACCUGUUCCAAUUGCCAUCAGAGGAUUACAACUUGUGUAACAUAUAAGCCUGGAGCUUUUUCUUUGGCGAUGAGCCUUGUGUUUGUCGUGUUUGGGCUGAUUUGUGGAUGCUGCCUUAUUCCAUUUUUUGUGGAUAGCUUCCAAGAUGUCUAUCACAGCUGUCCAUUGUGCAAUGCUCAACUCCAUGUUCACAAAAGGAUGUAAACCAAAGAUAUAACAGCAGAGCUAAAUGUAACUAAGAAAAGUACUUACUGUGUUGUAGAAAAUUUAUGUUAUCUAGAUAGACUGCGGG
Molecule: long non-coding RNA, 934 nt
Filed under: Scleropages formosus (Asian bonytongue)
Lineage: Eukaryota; Metazoa; Chordata; Actinopteri; Osteoglossiformes; Osteoglossidae
Description: lncRNA (ENSSFOG00015009498.2)
Source: RNAcentral